GGAGGGGUGCCAGAGCGGCCGAAUGGGACGGUCUUGAAAACCGUUGAGCGAGAGCUCCGUGGGUUCAAAUCCCACCCCCUCCGCCA
RNAcentral lists this transfer RNA (86 nucleotides) under Actinobacteria bacterium IMCC26256. RNAcentral describes it as "tRNA-Ser". It matches the Rfam family "tRNA". From Rfam's summary of the family: Transfer RNA (tRNA) molecules are approximately 80 nucleotides in length. RNAcentral also lists the same sequence under 5 other names. The record is from RNAcentral. Lineage: Bacteria; Bacillati; Actinomycetota; Actinomycetes.